UACAGAGGGUGCGAGCGUUAAUCGGAAUUACUGGGCGUAAAGCGUGCGUAGACGGUUAUUUAAGUCGGGUGUGAAAUCCUGGAGCUCAACUCCAGAACUGCCUUUGAUACUGAGGAUCUUGAGUCCGGGAGAGGUGAGUGGAACUGCGAGUGUAGAGGUGAAAUUCGUAGAUAUUCGCAAGAACACCAGUGGCGAAGGCGGCUCUCUGGGACGGUACUGACGCUGAGACGCGAAAGCGUGGGGAGCGAACAGG
This 253-nucleotide ribosomal RNA is filed under the name uncultured bacterium. RNAcentral's name for it is "partial 16S ribosomal RNA". It matches the Rfam family "Bacterial small subunit ribosomal RNA", at positions 524 to 776 of the family's 1533-position model. The record is from RNAcentral.